RNAcentral lists this ribosomal RNA (745 nucleotides) under uncultured bacterium. RNAcentral's name for it is "bacterial SSU rRNA". It matches the Rfam family "Bacterial small subunit ribosomal RNA", at positions 33 to 773 of the family's 1533-position model. The record is from RNAcentral.
ACGCUGGCGGCAGGCCUAACACAUGCAAGUCGAGCGGUAGAGAGAAGCUUGCUUCUCUUGAGAGCGGCGGACGGGUGAGUAAUGCCUAGGAAUCAGCCUGGUAGUGGGGGAUAACGUUCGGAAACGGACGCUAAUACCGCAUACGUCCUACGGGAGAAAGCAGGGGACCUUCGGGCCUUGCGCUAUCAGAUGAGCCUAGGUCGGAUUAGCUAGUUGGUGGGGUAAUGGCUCACCAAGGCGACGAUCCGUAACUGGUCUGAGAGGAUGAUCAGUCACACUGGAACUGAGACACGGUCCAGACUCCUACGGGAGGCAGCAGUGGGGAAUAUUGGACAAUGGGCGAAAGCCUGAUCCAGCCAUGCCGCGUGUGUGAAGAAGGUCUUCGGAUUGUAAAGCACUUUAAGUUGGGAGGAAGGGCAGUUACCUAAUACGUGAUUGUUUUGACGUUACCGACAGAAUAAGCACCGGCUAACUCUGUGCCAGCAGCCGCGGUAAUACAGAGGGUGCAAGCGUUAAUCGGAAUUACUGGGCGUAAAGCGCGCGUAGGUGGUUAGUUAAGUUGGAUGUGAAAUCCCCGGGCUCAACCUGGGAACUGCAUUCAAAACUGACUGACUAGAGUAUGGUAGAGGGUGGUGGAAUUUCCUGUGUAGCGGUGAAAUGCGUAGAUAUAGGAAGGAACACCAGUGGCGAAGGCGACCACCUGGACUGAUACUGACACUGAGGUGCGAAAGCGUGGGGAGCAAAC